Molecule: long non-coding RNA, 351 nt
Filed under: Triticum aestivum (bread wheat)
Lineage: Eukaryota; Viridiplantae; Streptophyta; Magnoliopsida; Poales; Poaceae
Description: long non-coding RNA (TAES_LNC024550)
Source: RNAcentral
AGGAGGGGCGGCGUGAAGCGCAUCUCCGGCCUCAUCUACGAGGAGACCCGUGGCGUCCUCAAGAUCUUCCUCGAGAACGUCAUCCGCGACGCCGUCACCUACACCGAGCACGCCCGCCGCAAGACCGUCACCGCCAUGGACGUCGUCUACGCGCUCAAGCGCCAGGGCCGCACCCUCUACGGCUUCGGAGGCUAGAUCCGUCUAGUGGAGCAACUUCCUCGUUUGCUCUGUGUGACAUGUAUCGUGCUAGAUGGGAUUUACUGCUUUGGCGUGCGUCGUUGUGUUCUGUCUUGGGUUCAGUAGGCUGUGUAAUACCUGUUCAAUGCAAUCAGUUCGAUUCUGAAUCCUGAC